CGAGGACUGGACUAGUGUCA
RNAcentral lists this microRNA (20 nucleotides) under Spodoptera frugiperda (fall armyworm). Its description in RNAcentral is "sfr-miR-10461a-5p". The record is from miRBase by way of RNAcentral. Lineage: Eukaryota; Metazoa; Arthropoda; Insecta; Lepidoptera; Noctuidae.